RNAcentral lists this unclassified non-coding RNA (329 nucleotides) under soil metagenome. Its description in RNAcentral is "partial contains 5.8S ribosomal RNA, internal transcribed spacer 2, and large subunit ribosomal RNA". The stretch from base 1 to 120 matches the Rfam family "5.8S ribosomal RNA", at positions 35 to 154 of the family's 154-position model. The record is from RNAcentral.
GAUGAAGAACGUAGCGAAAUGCGAUAAGUAAUGUGAAUUGCAGAAUUCAGUGAACCAUCGAAUCUUUGAACGCACAUUGCGCCCCUUGGUAUCCCGAGGGGCAUGCCUGUUCGAGCGUCAUUUCACCACUCAAGCCUGGCUUGGUGUUGGGCGACGUCCCCUUUGGGGACGCGCCUCGAAACGCUCGGCGGCGUGGCACCGGCUUUAAGCGUAGCAGAAUCUUUCGCUUUGGAAGUCGGGGCCCCGUCUGCCGGAAGACCUACUCGCAAGGUUGACCUCGGAUCAGGCAGGGAUACCCGCUGAACUUAAGCAUAUCAAUAAGCGGAGGA